AAGGAUCAUUACAACAAGGUUCCCUGGCCCUCGAAGCUUCGGCGGAGGGGUGCUACAGCCUGACUUUAUACCCACCCUUUGCCUAUGUGUACCCCUAUUGCUUCCCUCGGCGGGUUCGCCCGCCGACAGGAACCAACUAAACCCUUUGCAUUAUACAUUUAACACUUCCGAUACAAAACUAAAUUAUUACAACUUUUAACAAUGGAUCUCUUGGUUCUG
This 219-nucleotide unclassified non-coding RNA is filed under the name uncultured fungus. RNAcentral's name for it is "partial contains 5.8S ribosomal RNA, internal transcribed spacer 2, and large subunit ribosomal RNA". The record is from RNAcentral. Lineage: Eukaryota; Fungi.